Molecule: long non-coding RNA, 282 nt
Filed under: Lathyrus oleraceus (garden pea)
Lineage: Eukaryota; Viridiplantae; Streptophyta; Magnoliopsida; Fabales; Fabaceae
Description: Pisum sativum (pea) long non-coding RNA (PSAT_LNC022960)
Source: RNAcentral
UACCAAAUAAAUUGACAUAUAAGACUACAUCAUCUUCACUAUCUUCACUCACUUCCUCAAUUGGAAUAAUUGGUUCAUUAUUUUGUGAUGGUUCUUCAUGAUUAAGUUAGUAGUGUAUAGGAAGUGAUGUUGAUGAAGAUGUAGGUUGGCUCAUUCAUACGGGUGUGAUUGCAAUAUACUAGUUGUGAUAAUUGUACAUCGUCAUCAAAAUGAAUAUAUAACUCAAUCAUGUUCAAAUGAGUAAAUGUCAUGUGACACUAAAACUAUGGGUGAAAAACGGGC